GAUGAAGAACGCAGCGAAAUGCGAUAAGUAAUGUGAAUUGCAGAAUUCAGUGAAUCAUCGAAUCUUUGAACGCACCUUGCGCCCUUUGGCUAUUCUGAAGGGCAUGCCUGUUUGAGUAUCAUGAACACCUCAACUCUCAUGGUUCGCCAUGAUGAGCUUGGACUUUGGGGGUCUUGCUGGCCUACGGUCGGCUCCUCUCAAAUGAAUCAGCUUGCCAGUGUUUGGUAGAGUCGCAGGUGUGAUAACUAUCUACGCUUGUGGUUUUCUGCCAGAUAACCUUCGGUGAUGGAGGUUCGCUGGAGCUUAUAAAUGUCUCUCCCCAGUGAGGACAGCUUUUUGAACGUUUGAUCUCAAAUCAGGUAGGACUACCCGCUGAACUUAAGCAUAUCAAUAAGCGGAGGA
Molecule: unclassified non-coding RNA, 402 nt
Filed under: soil metagenome
Description: partial contains 5.8S ribosomal RNA, internal transcribed spacer 2, and large subunit ribosomal RNA
Rfam family: 5.8S ribosomal RNA (bases 1-121)
Source: RNAcentral